Long non-coding RNA from Manis javanica (Malayan pangolin), 696 nucleotides. RefSeq lists it as uncharacterized. The record is from RefSeq and is a predicted model, not a curated record. NCBI's taxonomy places the organism in Eukaryota, Metazoa, Chordata, Mammalia, Pholidota, Manidae.
GUAUUCUUCACUGAUCUCCAUGGCAUGACAUUUCCAGGAGGGAGGAUACAGCACAAGCCAAGAUAACUACAAGAUGAUUACUGCAGAUGUUGGAAUGGUCCUCACAAAAGGUCCACCCAUCAUGAUUUGGCAGUGAAAUUAUCAGCAGAACAAAGAAGAGAAUAUACAUUUAAAUAUAGGUAUGAUGCCUAAAGGGGAGAGGACACAAGACACACAAAGUGCUGGAAGUUAAGAGAAAAGCGGAGAAGCACAGAACAACAAGAUUGAUGAAAGUACCUUUUAAAAGGAAAAUACCUUAUGGAAGAUAACAGAUAUCUUAGGGGAAGGAGCUGAAGCAAGUAAAUAUAGUUCAUUUGAGAGAGAAAACAAAAAGAAUUUGAUUUCUGCUUCUAAGAAGGAAGAGGAGAGGAAAAGGAAGAGGAGAGAGUUGGGGAGACCAUUCUAAAAGGUUUGUAACAAUAGGAUACAACUUGGGCUGAUGUGUGGCUCCAGAAACUACUCUUGUGUUAGAGAAGCCACAGGUCUUUCCAACAGGGAGAUCAUGUGAUCGUCAGUUUCUAGUUUCUGUUAAUCUGUGUGGGAUGGCUGGAUAGCCCAUUAACUGAACACCUUCUGUUGAAGCACAAAGCCAGAAACCAGGCAAAAUGCCAAUAAUAUUAGCCUCCCUGGAAAUUCAGAGAAGUAGGGAGAGGCCUU